This 550-nucleotide ribosomal RNA is filed under the name Bifidobacterium pseudocatenulatum. RNAcentral's name for it is "bacterial SSU rRNA". It matches the Rfam family "Bacterial small subunit ribosomal RNA", at positions 146 to 708 of the family's 1533-position model. The record is from RNAcentral. Lineage: Bacteria; Bacillati; Actinomycetota; Actinomycetes; Bifidobacteriales; Bifidobacteriaceae.
UCUCCUGGAAACGGGUGGUAAUGCCGGAUGCUCCGACUCCUCGCAUGGGGUGUCGGGAAAGAUUUCAUCGGUAUGGGAUGGGGUCGCGUCCUAUCAGGUAGUCGGCGGGGUAACGGCCCACCGAGCCUACGACGGGUAGCCGGCCUGAGAGGGCGACCGGCCACAUUGGGACUGAGAUACGGCCCAGACUCCUACGGGAGGCAGCAGUGGGGAAUAUUGCACAAUGGGCGCAAGCCUGAUGCAGCGACGCCGCGUGCGGGAUGACGGCCUUCGGGUUGUAAACCGCUUUUGAUCGGGAGCAAGCCUUCGGGUGAGUGUACCUUUCGAAUAAGCACCGGCUAACUACGUGCCAGCAGCCGCGGUAAUACGUAGGGUGCAAGCGUUAUCCGGAAUUAUUGGGCGUAAAGGGCUCGUAGGCGGUUCGUCGCGUCCGGUGUGAAAGUCCAUCGCUUAACGGUGGAUCUGCGCCGGGUACGGGCGGGCUGGAGUGCGGUAGGGGAGACUGGAAUUCCCGGUGUAACGGUGGAAUGUGUAGAUAUCGGGAAGAACA